AAGUCGUAACAAGGUUUCCGUAAGGUGAACCUGCAGGAAGGAUCCAAUUGAAUCGAGAUGCAGUGCCCUUUCGGGGUAGACCUCCCACCCCUGUUUACCGUACCCGUUGCUUUGGCGGUCCCGUCGCAAGACGGGCCGCCAGAGGACCUUUAAAACCCGUAUUAUCAUUGUCGUCUGAGUACUAUCAAUAGUUUAAAA
Molecule: unclassified non-coding RNA, 198 nt
Filed under: plant metagenome
Description: partial contains small subunit ribosomal RNA and internal transcribed spacer 1
Source: RNAcentral